GGGCGGCGGCUCCGCGGCGCCUCUGGAGUAGCAGGUGUUUCUGUGGUUACCGCUUGUUUACUCAGUAAACAGCCUAUUUCCUGAGGAGCAGGGCCUCGCUCUACCGGCUCCUCCAACUUCAAGAAGAAGUACCGAGCACCCCCAGUCAUUCCGCACUCACUGCUGCUUUAAAGACCAGCUUGCAUCUGAGCAACUUAAAAAUGUGUGAGAUUUGGAAUCUCCCGAGGCACAUUGCCUCAGGGUUGCUCCUCCCACCGCACCCCAGGCAUAAAGAAGGUCCCUCCAAGUCUAGACAAGAAGUGACCCAUUUUUUCCCUGGGGUCAGUAUUGCUAUUCUGAACAUUGUUUCUAGAUGUAAUGUUCUAUAAUACAAGCUCUUCAGAAAAAUACACUUCUAAAAAAAAACCACUGAGGAGGAUGAGGCUGGAGGUGGAGGACAAGGCCAGCCUACACAGAGUGACCUGUCUCAAAACAAUUAUUUUCUAGUUAAAAAACAAAAAACUACCAAGUGAUCGUUGACUUCAAUGAAAAGGGAGUGAAUCUGUUGCUAAGCCCUCAAAUCUCAAUAAAAGUGCCUUCUCGUGUACGACUGCAAGAGCAGUGGUGGCCAUGCUGCUGUUUCUGCCCUGGUUCCCAGCCACUACACCUGCCCGCCAUCCUUACCUCCACCUCCACCCCGAGGCUGUUCCAGCCAGGAUCUCCACUUCAUGUUUCUUUCUCCAGAGAGAAGACAGUCCCACAUCCAAGGCUGGUCUUGGGAGUGAUGACCCCAGGCUAACAACGCAGUACGAGGUCCCUCCCAGAUGAGAGACAGACAAAGAGACCAAGAGGAAAUGUAACCAUCAGUUGAAAACAGUAGUGGGCCUAUGUCUCUUGUCUUCAGGUAGGCAUUGCAGUGUUUAACUGAGCCAAGGUCUGAGGUCUGUAUUGUGUUUUUUUCUGGUCAGGAAGAAAAUUGUUAAUGAGAAAUAGCUGUCUAAAUAACAUCUCAUGUGAUUUUAAACCUAAUGCCCAAGGAAUGUGAUACCUUAAACCAUUGAAGAAUCACACCAAUCACUUUAUUCUUUGGACAUCUUCCUGCUGGGUGUUUAAGACCAUACAGGUAGCUAAAAUUAAUCACUUUUUUUAAACUGUCAAGAUUCUAUGAGAAUCUUGUUCUUGUGGGUUGUCUGGGCUCAAGAGAAACCUCUGGAUCCUCUAACCUCCUUUUGUUUUUCAGUCAUUCAUGGAUGUGAGAAUAAUUCAAAGGCCUUGCUUGACAAUGACUUCCCUUGAAGCAUGGAGGAGAUUUUUCCUCUGGACUGACACUCCCCUGCGCAAACCAGACACUGUGAGAGCUCGCCAGGGGGAUCUCUGCCUGCUGCCCAAGAGAGCAGGGGAUUGCCCACGGUUGCAGGACAUUUAGAGAGGUGUCCCAUAGUCCCCUGGUAAUACUUGACCAUGGAGAGCUGGGGGGUGGCGUGCGUGCGUGCGUGCGUGCGUGCGUGCAUGCGUGCAUGCAAAAUUCUCCCUCUCAUCCCUCUUAUCUCAUUAGUAUAGCCUCCAAGUAUGGUUAUCGAACUCUCGGAAGGUCAGUGGCACCACUUAGAUACUUUUAACAACUAUGUAAUAUUUAGAUAAAACUUGAGCAAAAACCAAAUGUUAUGCCCAGAUCAUGACCCCAAAGAGACCACCAAAGACCAAAGGUGUCCAGAAUGCAACAGCAAGGUUUAUUCUGUAGAUACAAGUCUAGACAGGGAACUCAUUCCUACACCCAAUACAGUGAGGCAGGGAGGAGUUGCUCUUUCUUUGUGUGGCUAGCUUUUUAAAGGCAAAAACCACAAGCCCUUCAGGGGGGCUGGGGGGGUUUUGCAUGGGUGCAACUCGGAUUGGUUUAUUUUUAUCUCUGUUCUCUUUUAAUUGGGUGAGGGUAUGUAACCUUUAAAUUUACUGGUUGGUGGUUACAAUUAUCACUUUGGGGGCAGUCCAGCACAAGUCCCAGGCUUUGACCUUGAGCCGCCAUGGGGGCUGGCUGGCCUAGCACGUACUGACUGUGGGUGCUGGCUCAGUGGUCCAGGCUCUGUCCUUGACUCAUGCACAUAACUCUAAGUUGGUGAGGGGUCCCAGACAGUAAGCAUCUGGCUGAACUUUGAGCAAUCAGAGUACGUGCAGAAAGGGAGCUACUGCAAGGACUAUGUCUUUUGUUCAUGGCCCUCCCAGAAACUGCUUGCUCAACUCUCAGGAAACUGAAAUUGAGGCCUGAUCUCUGAGAGAAGACUGAGCAGCCUGUUAUGGCAUCUGCUUGGUCCUUUCACCAAACACUUUUAAAUUCACUUUGAUUAGACAUACAUUUCUGUUUUUAAGCCAGUCCUUGUAAUUAUUUUGGAGAAUAGAUCAACAACUCCUUUGAUUUAAACAUCAGUGCUUUGAACUUUGACUUCUUACACACCUUGCUCAGACCCUUGUAACUUGCUUAAACUUUCCAGCUUUCUUUGCUAUGCUUAAAAAAAGCAUCCCGCCAUGAUAUGAGACAUAAUAGCUAACAAAUCAACAAUCCACAGUAGACAUGACAACUGAAAAUGAUGCAGCUGGUGUCAUGGUAAUUGUGUGUCUGGGAAGAUAGUAUUACCUAAUACCACCUUAAUGAAAGAAAUCCAUAUAUCCAAAUGGUAUACAUAACGAAUUAAUACUACCUGUGUAUUUAUUGUUGAACUGUAGGGCUUGGUAAGUUCGCAGGUAAAACUUGUAGAAAACACAGGAAGACAGUCUUCAUACAUGUAGAUCAAUCUACCAUAAUGAUGCUUUUGGUUUUAAAUAAGUGUAAGUGGCAGCUAGGGACGGAGCUUUAUAUCGUGAGAUACAUAAUAGUCACAUCUUUAUUCUUUGGUUGUUUUCUUAUUCUUUCUCCCUGUUACUGAGUUAGGCGGCCAGCCUGAUUCAGUGAGGGGAGCUUUGGAGGAUGUUUUGAAAUAAAAUAUGCUUGAGUCUGACAUGGGAAUGCCAAGUCCCACCUCCAUAACUAGUUUCUCCUCGAGAUUCAAACAGCACUUGACAAUGUGAUGUGCAGACAAAGCAUUUGUUCCUCUGUAAAACUGAAUCUAGUGGUCUACACUGAAAAAGAGACUCAAUGCUUAGUGCAGUGACAGGCCCCCAGCAUCUGUCCUCCUUAUAACCCAUAGUCUUGUCUCCGUGGGUCAUGGUGACCCCUUUAGAGACAGCAUUGCUCUGCUCUAGUGAUCAGUCACAGGCCUGAAGACAGAGCCAGAUAAGAAAAGCAGCAGCGGACUCCAGCUCACUGCAGGGGAGGCCUAGGAGCCAAGAUCUAUCUGUAUCAUUCUAGGACCCAUCAAGCUACCAAUUCAGAAAAUCUAGUUGUAAGCCCCUUGAGGCUUGAACAGCUAAACACUACCUCCCAGAGUCUCUAAGUGCGGUCCCCAGGCCCUUGAGGCUGGAGAGUGGCCACGCCCCACCCUACAAAAAAAAGCUCAAGACCAACCACAUAAUCCCUCCAAUCCCAGGCUAUCCUGAAAAGCCCUGCCCCUAGAAACCUUAUAUAAGCCUGCCUCCUGUUCAGGUCUGUGCUGCUUCUCCCCAGCAGAGGCAGCUACCCUCUUGUGUUUCUCCCAAUAAAUCUCUUGUGUGAGGUUUGUUGUACAUGUGACUUUGUGGUAUUCCUUGGCUCCCAACUGCCAGGAUACCUUUACCCUCAGAGCUGUAACACCUCCUGUUGUGGUUUGGUCUUGCUCUUUUUAUGCUUUGCUCUUUUGGGAACCCACCACCCAGCUCCCAAAUAAACACAUGGAGGCUUAUUAUUACUUAUAAAUGUCUGGCCUUAGCUUGGCUUAUUUCUAGCCAGUUUUUCUUAACUUUAAUUAUCCUGUCUACCUUUUGCCUCUGGGUUUUUUCCUGUCCUUACUUCUGCAAAUCUUACUUUCACUCUUACCCUGUUGUUUGCUGUGUUGCUGGGUGGCUGGCCCUGAUGUCCUCCUCUCCUAUUCUCACUCCUCCAUCUCUCUUCCCAGAUUUCUAUUUAUUCUCUCUGCCUGACAGCCCCACCUAUCCUUUCUUCUGCCUCACUAUUGGUUGUUCAGAUCUUUAUUAAACCAUCAGGAGUCUUAGACAGGCACGUAACACAGCUUCACAGAGUUACACAAAUGCAACAUAAAAGAAUGCAACAUAUUUUACAUCAUUAAAUAAAUGUUCCACAGCAUAAACAAAUAUAACACAUCUCAAAAUAAUAUUCUACAACAACUUCCACUAGGGAAAUCUUUUCCCUCAGAGAUGUAAUACUUAUACUAGUCAUUUGCAGAAAUUAAGAGGGAAGAACCAGACCACAAUUAUGAUCAGAUCACAGCAGAAUCAAAGUCCAACAGUGGCCAAUAUUUGGGAUCCACUCAUGAUCUUCUGGGCUUAGGCAGCCCCCAUUUCUCUCUGCCCUCCACAGCACAUAUAACUCAUCUCAUAGGCUCAAUGCUGUAUUUUAAAAAGGGUGGGAAGGAGUCACACCAUACAACAGGACCCACAUGGGAGGUUUAUUGAUGGGAGGGGAGAGAAGGGGGCAGAGACUGGUCCCUGGGGAUGAGAGGGAAGUAAUAGAAAGAGACGGGAGGUGUACAAGGCCCGCCUUUUAUAAGGACACAUAGAGAAGGCACACAGGGGAUGCUCUUAGUGGCUGCAGCUGAGGUCCUUCUAAGGGCAGGCAGUACAGAUGCCUAAAUGCUAACACUCAGGCCAGCUUCAUUAUACAGCUGCUGAUGUCUUUGGUAGUCACCCCAAAGUUAAUAACAUAAAAACCAGCACUACCUGGGUGGCCCUUACACAUUUAGAGUUGGGCUGCCAGCCUAAGAUAAAACCUUGGCCCUCAAUGGACCCCCUGUGUGUGCAGACCCUGAGGAAUACAUUAGAGAUUUCACCUCAAUGAUACUGGUCUCUUCUUCCCACCCCCCAGGGGGGUGGGGCAUGUUAGAGACAGGGUAUCUGUAUAGUCCCACUCUGGAACUCACUCUGUAGACCAGGCUGGCCUCGAAUUUACAGAGAUCCUCCUAUCUCUUCCUCCCUAGUGCUGGGAUUAAAAGCGUGUGCCACGACUGCCAUCCUCUGCCCAUUUUUAAUAGAAACUGGCUGUUCAUAACACCUUCCCUACUAUAUCUCACUACACACCAUGAAGCCAAAUAUUAAAGCUUGCAAUGGAUAGAUUAUUCUGUUUUGUUUUUGUUUUUGUUUUGAGACAAGGUCUCAUAUGACUCACACUGGCCUCAUUUAUAAACACAGCUAUAUAUAAUGCCACACUAAAGUUACAAAGAGUCAGUCCUCUAAGAAUUUCAUUUAAAGCUUUGUUUUAAUGGAUAGCCAUGAAAUUUCUGUCAAUAUUUUUAAAAAAUUAUUAGCAUUUUCCAAUUAAAUUGUCACACUUCCAGGUUGGUUAUGCUAUAGCAUCUUCUAACCUGUCAUCCUUUCCUGUAAAACAAGCCUCAGACAUUAUAAUCAGAGGGAGCCAGAAGAAGCUGCUUUGCGCACUUCAAUAGUCAGUAAUUAGUAUAUGAAUCUUCGCUUUAUUCAUGUGAAUCAUUAGGCUAUAAAUCACUUGAUACCGAUUUGCAGGACUGCAAAAGCAGCUCUGGUACUUCACUGGGCACUAGAAUUAGCUCCCUUGGUAGAGCAAAAGGGUCCCAAGUAGAAGGAAAGCAUUCUUUUUUUUUUUUUUUUUUUUCUGGAGCUGAGGACUAAACCCAGGGCCUUGCGCUUGCUAGGCAAGUGCUCUACCACUGAGCUAAAUCCCCAACCCCAAAAGCAUUCUUUAAAAUUGAGUAAUCUGAUUAGUAAAAUGAACUCAGGGAAGAAAACCUCACUCAGUUCACUGGUCUCAUUUUUUGAUUUUACAGAUGACCUUUACCAAGGCCAACAACAUAGAGGUCACACAAGGUUAGCUAACUAGAAAGUGGCAAAACCAAGAUCAGAAGGCUCAUUUCUAUUAAUCUAUUAUCUUACAGUAUGCAUACAAAAGCACCAAUAUACUUACCCAUAAUAUGUAUGUUUACCUUUGGUUGCUGUUGUUUUUUGGUUUUCUGUUUUUAGAGAAAGGAUUUCUCCAUGUAGCCCUGGCUGUCCUGGAACUCAUUCUGUAGACAAGGGUACACUUGAACUCAGAUAUUCACCUGCCUCUGCCUCCAGAGUGCUGGGAUUAAAGGCAUGUGCUACGACCACCCGGCUGUGUUUUACCUUUUUUAAGAAAGUGGACUGGGUCUAGAGAGAUGAAGAGAUGAUCUGUCGCUCUCUUCUGCAGGCAGCAGGUACACACACGGCAUUUACUCACACAGACAUACACAUAGAUUAAAAAGUUAAAAAUGGAUAAGUAUGGUGACUUACAUCUGUAAUUAUAAGACUCAGAAGGCUGAUGCAGGAAGAUUGCCAUGAAUUCAAUGCUAGUCUGAGCUUCAUAGUGAGUCCAAAGGCCAACCUGGGCUACAGAGUAUGAUCUUGACUCUAAGAAAGAAAAACAAAAAUUAUUAUUCGGGAGGCUGAGACAUGAGGGUCAGGAAUUAAAAGCCAGCGUGUAGCCGGGCAGUGGUGGCGCAUGCCUUUAAUCCCAGCACUCGGGAGGCAGAGCCAGGCGGAUCUCUGUGAGUUCGAGGCCAGCCUGGGCUACAGAGUGAGUUCCAGAAAAAGGCGCAAAGCUACACAGAGGAACCCUGUCUCGAAAAACCAAAAAAAAAAAAAAAAGCCAGCGUGUACUCCAGAGUGAGUUCCAGGCUAUCUUGUACUACAUAUGACCCGAUCUCAAACAAAUAAACAAACUAACUAACUAACUAACUAACUAAAAGCAAAUGAAUACAUAAAGUACUCUCUAUAGGAGCCUUACUGAUUUGCUGUUCAGUUUAUUCUCCAGCACCUAAUAACAGUCACUAGCCCAUAGCACAUUCUCUAAAUUUAUCCUAAGAAUUACCUUCAGCAUGCAACAUGACAUGGCACAAAUCUAAAGUUAUGUCUUCCAUAAAGUGCUUCAUCUUAGUUUGACCUGAACUAUACAUGCUUAUUACAUGAAAGCUGCACUCCCCCAACCCUGUAGUGCAAAGGAUUGAACCCAGACUCUAACAGACUUCCAAUAUGCUAGGCAGGAGCUCUACCACUGAGCUCAUCCCCAUUCAUAUUGUCUUUCUCGUAAGUUCUAAAUUUGCCAUCUUUAACAGUGUCUAUACCUGCCCUUCUCUACUUGUACCUCUAUCUCCUAGUUUCCAGUGUGUGUGUGUGUGUGUGUGUGUGUGUGUGUGUGUGUGUGUGUGUGUGUGUGUGUAUGAGACAAAGUAUCUUAGACCUGAGGAUAACCUUGAUAUUCUGAUCCUCUUGCUGUUGGGGAAUAUUAUUUUAAGGUGUGUUACUUUUGUUUAUGUUGCAUUUGUUUAAUUCUGUGAAGCUGUGUUACUGUGUCUGUCUAAAACACCUGAUGGUCUAAUAAAGAACUGAAUGGCCAAUAGUGAGACAGGAGAAAUGAUAGGUGGUACUGGAAGGCAGAGAGAAUAUAUAAAAAGAGAGAUCUGGGAGGAAAAAUAAAAGGAGCCAGAGAAGGAGGAGGACUCCAGGGGCCAGGCAUCCAACUACACAGCAAGCCAUGGAGUAAGAAACAAAGAAAGGUAUACAGGAAUAGAUAAGGAAAAGCCCAGAGGCAAAAGAUAGAUGGGAUAAUUUAGGUUAAUAAAAGCUGGCAAGAAACAAGCCAAGCUAAGACUGGGCAUUUAUAACUAAUAAGUCUCUCCAUGUGUGAUUUAUUUGGGAGCUGGGUGGUGGGCUCCUCAAAAGAGCAAAAGCAAUCACUUACAUUUUGGCAUACCAAUCUGAGGCUCGACUAUCCCUAGGGACUGAGAAAAGGGGGAGGGAAAACAAAUAUGGCUCCUUGAAGAGUUCCUGCCUGCCAGUCAGUGAGCCCUUGAGCAGCCAGUACAUUAAGUAGGAACAAAAAACUAAGUAAAAAUGCCUGCCACAGUGCAAGCAUCAUCAUUUUAGAGCUCUAGGAAGGCUGAAUGCAGUAGUUCGUCAUAAACCUCCCAUCGAGCCGUGAGUUUUAGGCUUGGCUUUCAUGACCACAGAAGUGGGCAGAGCCAGUCUAGAGCCUUAUGUGGAGGAUACAGAUGUAGGUUAGCAGUUUACAAGUUUGCUCACAUGGUCAAAAAAGGCUGAAAGAUAUGCUGUUGUUGGUAUUUUACUCUUUUGGGGGCCCUCCACCCAGCUCCCAAAUAAGUCACAUGUCGCGUCCGCCUCAACCAGCAAGGAAGACACAACACCAGGCUCUUCUCCAAGCAGUUUAUUCAGGAACCUUGAACAAUCUUCUGAAAGCCAGCCCACGCCCUUUAUAGCCACUCGGCAACCAACCCCAUAGUGCCACAUGGACAAUGCCGAUAGGUCAGACAUACGCAAGCAAGCCAGAUUCCACACCCAAGCCAAAUAAGGAGUUGUUUAUCCCAGAGAACACCUGCCAUCGCGAAGGCGGAAGCCGGAUGCUGGCACCAUCUUUGAGGCGCGGCCGUGCAUGGCUCUCUACAGUCACACACAGAGGCUUUAUUCUUAAUUAUGAAUGUCUGGCCUUAGCUUGGCUUAGUUUCUUGCCCACUUUUCUUAACUUUAAGUUAGCCCAUCUACCUUUUGCCUCUGGGCUUUUUCCAUUCUCUUACUUCUCUGUGACUUGCUGUGUAGCUGGGUGGCUGGCCCCUGAGUCCUCCUCCUUCUCUGGCUACUUCUCCUUUUUCCUCCCAGAUUUCUCCUACAUAUUCUCUCUGCCUGCCAGCCAUGGCUAUCCUUUCUCCUGCCUUCCUAUUGGCCAUUCAGCUCUUUAUUAGAAAAUCAGGUGUUUUAGACAGGUAAAGUAACACAGCUUCAUAGAGUUAAACAAAUGCAACAAAACAAAAGUAACACACCUUAAAAUAAUAUUCUACAACAACACAUAGUAAAAGAGGUUCAGACAGAAAAACCUUCUAAACAGGUUCAAGUGUGUUUUAUAAUGUGCGUAGGCUUAAGAAAGAAAAGAAUGUAGGUAUAGGGCUGGAGAGAUGGCUCAGUGGUUAAGAGCACUGGCUGCUCUUCCAGAGGUCCUGAGUUCAAUUCCCAGCAACCACAUGGUGGCUCACAACCAUCUGUAAUGAGAUCUGGCACGUAGGCAGAACACUGUAUACAUAAUACACAAUGAAUAAAUCUUUUAAAAAAAGAAUAUGGGUAUAAGCAGUUAUAGAGUUUGAAAAAUAAAGCCUUUAAAGAGAUAUAAAAGAAAAAAAGCCAUGUAAGAUGGGAAAUAUACAGGAAGUUUGCAUCCUAUAUAAUAUUGUGUUGAUUUUUAAUUUUUUUGAAUGCUGACAAGCAAGCAAUACCAGCUAAGAUGCAUGGGGUUGUGAACUGGACUGCUAAAUUGAACCAAUCUAGAUACUUUAGGAAUGCCUUAACUCUAAAAAAGAAAUAAAAAAAUGUAUUUUUCAAAUGGAAAUAAAAAAUGCUUUGGAGUUUUGUUCCCACAGGAGACGAGAGGCUGUGGAUUCCUUCAGGAAUGAGAUGAAUCAGGUAUGAUGAAGGGAGACCUCCUGAACCUCGACAGGUGAUAUCUAUCCACAAAGGUUACUGCUGGUCUUCCCAGGACUUGGCCAUUAUCUGAAAAUUUCUCUGGGACCCUAAAGAUACUUCAUCCACAGACAGCAGGAAGCAGUUUGGAGAACACAAAGUCCACAUUCCCAAGAGUUGGGUUGUGGGAGGCCUUUGGUUAUUUGGUGGGCUAUGGAUGUUUGUUAUUAUUUAGGGGAAUAUAGGAAUAUAGAAUAAAGAGACAACUAUUAAUUUCA
Molecule: long non-coding RNA, 9794 nt
Organism: Peromyscus californicus insignis
Lineage: Eukaryota; Metazoa; Chordata; Mammalia; Rodentia; Cricetidae
Exons: 2
Source: RefSeq, a predicted model, not a curated record